GACGAACGCUGGCGGCGUGCUUAACACAUGCAAGUCGAACGGAAAGGCCCUGCUUGCAGGGUACUCGAGUGGCGAACGGGUGAGUAACACGUGGGUGAUCUGCCCUGCACUUCGGGAUAAGCUUGGGAAACUGGGUCUAAUACCGGAUAGGAGCCAUCUUUAGUGUGGUGGUUGGAAAGUUUUUUCGGUGUAGGAUGAGCUCGCGGCCUAUCAGCUUGUUGGUGGGGUAAUGGCCUACCAAGGAGGCGACGGGUAGCCGGCCUGAGAGGGUGUACGGCCACAUUGGGACUGAGAUACGGCCCAGACUCCUACGGGAGGCAGCAGUGGGGAAUAUUGCACAAUGGGCGCAAGCCUGAUGCAGCGACGCCGCGUGGGGGAUGAAGGCCUUCGGGUUGUAAACUCCUUUCGCUAGGGACGAAGCUUUGUUGUGACGGUACCUAGAGAAGAAGCACCGGCUAACUACGUG
RNAcentral lists this ribosomal RNA (466 nucleotides) under uncultured bacterium. Its description in RNAcentral is "partial 16S ribosomal RNA". It matches the Rfam family "Bacterial small subunit ribosomal RNA", at positions 28 to 507 of the family's 1533-position model. The record is from RNAcentral.